GGUGCUUUUGUAGCAAUACGAGAGUUAUCCUAGUGGCGAACGGGUGAGUAACGCGUUGGUGACCUGCCCCAAAGUGUGGGAUAACAGUCCGAAAGGAUUGCUAAUACCUCAUGUGGUCAUUGGAUUUAGAAACCGAUGUCUAAAGGAGCAAUCCGCUUUGGGAGGGACCUGCGUCCCAUCAGCUAGUUGGUGAGGUAAUGGCUCACCAAGGCGACGACGGGUAGGGGACCUGAGAGGGUGACCCCCCACAAUGGAACUGAAACACGGUCCAUACACCUACGGGUGGCAGCAGUAGGGAAUAUUGCUCAAUGGGCGAAAGCCUGAAGCAGCAACGCCGCGUGCGUGAUGAAGGUCUUCGGAUCGUAAAGCGCUUUUCUGAGAGAUGAGAAAGGACAGUAUCUCAGGAAUAAGUCUCGGCUAACUACGUGCCAGCAGCCGCGGUAAAACGUAGGAGGCAAGCGUUAUCCGGAUUCACUGGGCGUAAAGCGCGUGCAGGUGGCGCGGUAAGUUGGAUGUGAAAUCUCCCGGCUCAACUGGGAGAGGUCAUUCAAUACUACCGUGCUUGAGAGCAGAAGAGGAAGAUGGAAUUCCCGGUGUAGUGGUGAAAUGCGUAGAUAUCGGGAGGAACACCAGUGGCGAAGGCGAUCUUCUGGUCUGUUUCUGACACUCAGACGCGACAGCUAGGGUAGUAAACGGGAUUAGAGACCCCGGUAAUCCUAGCCGUAAACGAUGUGAACUUGGCGUUGGUGGGUUAAACUCCAUCAGUGCCGCANCAAACGCGAUAAGUUCACCGCCUGGGGACUACGGCCGC
This 811-nucleotide ribosomal RNA is filed under the name uncultured Chloroflexota bacterium. RNAcentral describes it as "bacterial SSU rRNA". It matches the Rfam family "Bacterial small subunit ribosomal RNA", at positions 69 to 889 of the family's 1533-position model. Lineage: Bacteria; Bacillati; Chloroflexota. The record is from RNAcentral.